Molecule: ribosomal RNA, 253 nt
Filed under: uncultured bacterium
Lineage: Bacteria
Description: partial 16S ribosomal RNA
Rfam family: Bacterial small subunit ribosomal RNA
Source: RNAcentral
UACGUAGGGUGCAAGCGUUGUCCGGAAUUAUUGGGCGUAAAGAGCUCGUAGGCGGCUUGUCGCGUCGACUGUGAAAACUCGGGGCUCAACUCCGAGCUUGCAGUCGAUACGGGCAGGCUAGAGUUCGGUAGGGGAGACUGGAAUUCCUGGUGUAGCGGUGAAAUGCGCAGAUAUCAGGAGGAACACCGGUGGCGAAGGCGGUUCUCUGGGCAUGAUCUGACGCUGAGGAGCGAAAGUGUGGGGAGCGAACAGG